UGAAUCUACUAUUGUUCCGAGAGGCUGGGAAAUACCCACCAGUGGGGAGAAGUUGAAGGUUGGAGUUCCUGUCAAAGGAGGGCUGGAGCAAUUUAUUAAAGUGGAAAUCAAUGCCAAAACACAAGCAGUAACUGUAACUGGUUUCAUUCCAGAUGUCUUCAAAGAAGUCAUCGAACAUUUGCCAUAUGCCAUCCCUUAUGAAUUUAUUCCAUUUCCAAUAGAUAGCCCCACUUCUCAAGACUAUGA
RNAcentral lists this unclassified non-coding RNA (246 nucleotides) under Hevea brasiliensis (rubber tree). The record is from RNAcentral. Lineage: Eukaryota; Viridiplantae; Streptophyta; Magnoliopsida; Malpighiales; Euphorbiaceae.